UCCGCCUUUACAGCCAGGAUUCCUUCUGAAAACCCAGCUCUCGUUCAGCAGAGUGCAGCAGCAGAGCCCAGCGCUGUAAAACAACAGGUGAAGAGGAUUCAGGUGCCCUGGAGCAACGCCAGAGCUGCAGGUCUCCACUCCCAGGUGUGUCUGGCACCUCUGUGUGACACCUGAGCCCGCGGCAGUGGCACCAGACAUUUACACUGAAAUACAUCGAAUUAUCUUUCUUUCAUCACACGGCUGCAUCAUCCAUUUCUUUGAGCUCUCUCUCGCUGUGUCCCCAGUGAGCAGAAACACUUCAGCUUUGGAAAUACAUAUUUAUAUCCCUGGAACACGUCACCUCCCAUGACAAGCACCAGACAACACUCAUUAUCCAGGCUGCUCCACAGCAUCAUUUCAAACACGAGGACCUCAAUAGCUCUGCAGAUAUUAAAAUAAAACCUUUCCUGGGCUUUCCUGCCCCCAGAGGUGGCAGUGGCUGCGGUGGGCACCACAAGCCUGGCAGCCCUUGCCCACCAGGCCCCGCUGGGGAGCAGUGGAGGGGCGGCAAUAAAUCCAUUUUCUCUCCUUUCCUGUGUGCCUGCAGGGGCCAGGCCUGUGGGAUUGCUGCUGGAAGUGCGGCCUCAUUUAAUGGGGAUCUGACUGAUAUCAAAAUUGACUCGGUUUUCCAAUGAUAUCUUGUAGUGGAAUGUUGUGAGCUGGAAACUAAUAUAUUUCUUCUUGCUUGUCACAUCAAUAUGGGCUAAUUUUGUUGGCUUUUGUAUUGAACAACCUGGUGAAUGUACAAUCCAGCUUUGAUUUCUCUCUUUAUGAUGCCUCUUAUUAUUAAACCUCCCUCAACCAAAAAAA
Molecule: long non-coding RNA, 849 nt
Organism: Taeniopygia guttata (zebra finch)
Lineage: Eukaryota; Metazoa; Chordata; Aves; Passeriformes; Estrildidae
Source: RefSeq, a predicted model, not a curated record